Molecule: long non-coding RNA, 432 nt
Organism: Haplochromis burtoni (Burton's mouthbrooder)
Lineage: Eukaryota; Metazoa; Chordata; Actinopteri; Cichliformes; Cichlidae
Exons: 3
Source: RefSeq, a predicted model, not a curated record
UCUGAUUAUUUAAACUCCUUUUAUUUUGUUUCACUGCAGCUGUGAAACAGACUCAUCCUGGGAUGAGGCCCCAAAUGCAUUUCAAAUAGAUUCUGAUGUUUCCUGCAACAAGCCGAUCAAGAGCUCAGUGAGCAGAGACGUGUUCAAAGGAGACCAAUUCAAGUUUUGUCUGACAAACCCACUUGGCUCCUGGUGCAAAACCCAUUACAUGAUCAUCCCACCUACACCUCAGCCCUCUAUUGGUAAUCCACCUGAGGAGAACUCCUUCCUGCUGACACUAUGUGUGGUUCUGGUUCUGCAAAACCCAUUACCCAGUAUUCUCUAAAGAUGGUGUACCUACUUAUAACAACAUGAUGGUGCUGAAAGUAGGCAGUUUGCUUGUGCUUCUGGCUUGGCUGUAGUCAAUAAAGAGCUCAUGUACCUCAUCAAAAA